RNAcentral lists this ribosomal RNA (1510 nucleotides) under Helicobacter pylori. Its description in RNAcentral is "bacterial SSU rRNA". It matches the Rfam family "Bacterial small subunit ribosomal RNA". The record is from RNAcentral. Lineage: Bacteria; Pseudomonadati; Campylobacterota; Epsilonproteobacteria; Campylobacterales; Helicobacteraceae.
UUUUAUGGAGAGUUUGAUCCUGGCUCAGAGUGAACGCUGGCGGCGUGCCUAAUACAUGCAAGUCGAACGAUGAAGCUUCUAGCUUGCUAGAAUGCUGAUUAGUGGCGCACGGGUGAGUAACGCAUAGGUUAUGUGCCUCUUAGUUUGGGAUAGCCAUUGGAAACGAUGAUUAAUACCAGAUACUCCCUACGGGGGAAAGAUUUAUCGCUAAGAGAUCAGCCUAUGUCCUAUCAGCUUGUUGGUAAGGUAAUGGCUUACCAAGGCUAUGACGGGUAUCCGGCCUGAGAGGGUGAACGGACACACUGGAACUGAGACACGGUCCAGACUCCUACGGGAGGCAGCAGUAGGGAAUAUUGCUCAAUGGGGGAAACCCUGAAGCAGCAACGCCGCGUGGAGGAUGAAGGUUUUAGGAUUGUAAACUCCUUUUGUUAGAGAAGAUAAUGACGGUAUCUAACGAAUAAGCACCGGCUAACUCCGUGCCAGCAGCCGCGGUAAUACGGAGGGUGCAAGCGUUACUCGGAAUCACUGGGCGUAAAGAGCGCGUAGGCGGGAUAGUCAGUCAGGUGUGAAAUCCUAUGGCUUAACCAUAGAACUGCAUUUGAAACUACUAUUCUAGAGUGUGGGAGAGGUAGGUGGAAUUCUUGGUGUAGGGGUAAAAUCCGUAGAGAUCAAGAGGAAUACUCAUUGCGAAGGCGACCUGCUGGAACAUUACUGACGCUGAUUGCGCGAAAGCGUGGGGAGCAAACAGGAUUAGAUACCCUGGUAGUCCACGCCCUAAACGAUGGAUGCUAGUUGUUGGAGGGCUUAGUCUCUCCAGUAAUGCAGCUAACGCAUUAAGCAUCCCGCCUGGGGAGUACGGUCGCAAGAUUAAAACUCAAAGGAAUAGACGGGGACCCGCACAAGCGGUGGAGCAUGUGGUUUAAUUCGAAGAUACACGAAGAACCUUACCUAGGCUUGACAUUGAGAGAAUCCGCUAGAAAUAGUGGAGUGUCUGGCUUGCCAGACCUUGAAAACAGGUGCUGCACGGCUGUCGUCAGCUCGUGUCGUGAGAUGUUGGGUUAAGUCCCGCAACGAGCGCAACCCCCUUUCUUAGUUGCUAACAGGUUAUGCUGAGAACUCUAAGGAUACUGUCUCCGUAAGGAGGAGGAAGGUGGGGACGACGUCAAGUCAUCAUGGCCCUUACGCCUAGGGCUACACACGUGCUACAAUGGGGUGCACAAAGAGAAGCAAUACUGCGAAGUGGAGCCAAUCUUCAAAACAUCUCUCAGUUCGGAUUGUAGGCUGCAACUCGCCUGCAUGAAGCUGGAAUCGCUAGUAAUCGCAAAUCAGCCAUGUUGCGGUGAAUACGUUCCCGGGUCUUGUACUCACCGCCCGUCACACCAUGGGAGUUGUGUUUGCCUUAAGUCAGGAUGCUAAAUUGGCUACUGCCCACGGCACACACAGCGACUGGGGUGAAGUCGUAACAAGGUAACCGUAGGUGAACCUGCGGUUGGAUCACCUCCUUUCUAGA